UGCAGAUAAUGUAAAAAGGCUCAUUCCAGUCACAGAGAAGUAUGAGUGUUAUACUGCUUAAUAAUGAUACCAACAAAUAUUAAUUUUAUUGUUAUAGUUGCCCAUAUAUAUUAAAGUUUACUACGUGCCAGGCAUAGCACACUAGCUCAUAAAAUUGACAUAAGAACCCUAUAACUAUUAAAAUUAUCUCUGCUCCAGAGGCCAAGAAACUUGAAAAAGUGACAGAAGCAGGGUUUGCAUCAUCAAACACAGCUCAGCUCUCCUUGCAGGCAGGAGUGGCCAUGUGAUGGAUUCUGACCAACGAGAUGCAAGCCGAAGUUGCUAAUUGGGACUCCUAAAAUCACUUUUAAAAAGUGAUGGACUCAUGAUCUCUUCACCCUUCUUCUGCCUGUCUCGAAUUGUCCAUCGUCAGAUUUCUUUUUACACAAAAAAAUUAUUUUCAGCUAGGCCAUGUUAAUUUGAUUUUCUGCUACAUGCAGCUGACUGUACUGAUUAUCUAAAACUGCUUUAUAAAGUUUUGUGACUAGGGGGUGGGAGCAAUGAUCACUCAUAUUCGUUAAGUGAAAGGAUAAAUGAUUGAAUUGUGUAUCUUAAUUGUGGUAUAUUCUGUACAACAUUUUUACAAUAAAUUAUGCUGAAUGA
Molecule: long non-coding RNA, 642 nt
Organism: Cercocebus atys (sooty mangabey)
Lineage: Eukaryota; Metazoa; Chordata; Mammalia; Primates; Cercopithecidae
Exons: 2
Source: RefSeq, a predicted model, not a curated record